This 359-nucleotide ribosomal RNA is filed under the name uncultured bacterium. Its description in RNAcentral is "partial 16S ribosomal RNA". It matches the Rfam family "Bacterial small subunit ribosomal RNA", at positions 338 to 689 of the family's 1533-position model. The record is from RNAcentral.
CCUACGGGUGGCAGCAGUGGGGAAUAUUGCGCAAUGGGCGAAAGCCUGACGCAGCGACGCCGCGUGAGGGAUGAAGGUCUUCGGAUCGUAAACCUCUGUCAGCAGGGAAGAACGGUCACUGUGCUAAUCAGCAGUGAAUUGACGGUACCUGCAAAGGAAGCACCGGCUAACUCCGUGCCAGCAGCCGCGGUAAUACGGAGGGUGCGAGCGUUAAUCGGAAUUACUGGGCGUAAAGCGCUCGUAGGCGGUAUGUCAAGUCAAGGGUGAAAUCCCCGCGCUCAACGUGGGAACUGCCUUUGAAACCUGGCAACUUGAGGGUUGGAGAGGAUAGGUGAAGUUCAGGGGGAGGGGGGAAAUCC